GUGAAUCAUCAAAUCUUUGAACGCAUAUUGCACUCUCUGGUAUUCCGGAGAGUAUGCCUGUUUGAGGGUAAUUAAAAAGAAUCUUUAACCAAUUUUUUUUUGGUCAAAGGAAAUGAGCUCUCCGCGUUUUUAGCGGUAGCUGAAAUUAAAGGUUCAAGUCUCAUUUUAGUCGAGAGGCGAAAUAAUAUUAUUUCGCGAAAUCUCC
Molecule: unclassified non-coding RNA, 205 nt
Filed under: Ambisporaceae sp.
Lineage: Eukaryota; Fungi; Glomeromycota; Glomeromycetes; Archaeosporales; Ambisporaceae
Description: partial contains 5.8S ribosomal RNA and internal transcribed spacer 2
Rfam family: 5.8S ribosomal RNA (bases 1-71)
Source: RNAcentral